Molecule: long non-coding RNA, 1949 nt
Organism: Ahaetulla prasina
Lineage: Eukaryota; Metazoa; Chordata; Lepidosauria; Squamata; Colubridae
Exons: 4
Source: RefSeq, a predicted model, not a curated record
UGCAGGCUCCAGCUCGCGCCGCCUUCCCCGCUCUAAGCUUCGCCGCGCGCCUUGGUCGCGCCCGGCCAUUCAGCGCCGCCGCCGCUGCUGCCGCCCAGCCCGAGGCGGGAGAAGAGGGGAACGGCUCCCGCGGGUAGCUGAACUACUUCAACGAACUCCUGCUUAUCAGUCUUGAAAAGAUGUGUUGAAACCAGUUAGACUACUUUUUCAUAACACCCAUCUGGCUAGAGGGCCUUGAGAAAGGAGUUGUGUAACACUGCUGAAGUUCUGAGACCUGAAAUAUUUCAUACGCAAAUGAUGUUCACCCACCAUGAUUCCUUAAAGAGCCACUGCUGCAAACUACUGCACUCUUUGGAACUGCCUCUCUGUUGGCACAAUCAACCUAAGGAUAAUAGAAAGAUAAAAUUUCCCAAGCCAGAUCUGUAGGUUCUAUAAAUAAUAUUUUUAAAGGUAACUUCCAUUCCCCUAUGCAAGCAGCUUCAACACAGUUGGUAUCCUGAAAAAUCAAGUGGGAUUCUUGCAAAUAGCCAGGCCGGCUGGCCAUUAUGGCACUCCGAACGCCGCCAUUUCAUCUGAAGAAAAUGGAAAAUGGCGGACAGAAUGGGCAAUGCCCAGCUAAAUCCAAAAAAUGCUACAAACUGAUAAAAGGUAACUAAGAGGCAGAAAAACAUUUCAUGGCCCUUUGUCACCAUGUAAUAAAUUGUCAUUAUGAAUAUAACUUGAACAUACGCUGUAGCAAAAUAAAUAUUUAGAUUUCCAAUAUGUUUAUUCAUAAAACGGGUAUGGCCACAGCCAUGACUGAUUAUUUUUAUGUUCUGAACGCCUAUUUAUCCAGUAUCAUUUUGCACGCACUAUCAUAUAAUUGGCUGGUUUAUCUGGGAGUUUUUUCUUUGCCCUUUGUGAUGGGUAGAACAUUUUUAGAGGCAGCAUCUUGCCCUGUUUAGUGACCACUUUUAAAUCAUGCUCUUGCAUGUGUAUUUGUAUUUAAAGAAAUUAGUGUGUCAUAUUACAUCAUGCAUAUACAGUACACAUGCUUUGUUUUGUAUUGCUAUCUAUAUCAACUUUAAGUGUAUUUUAUUUAAUAGGCAAAAGCCUAAGAAAGCAUCCAUUUGAGAAAUACUCAUCAUUGUAUAAAGGUAAAGGUAAAGGUAAAGGUUCCCCUCGCACAUACGUGCUAGUCGUUGCCGACUUUAGGGGGCGCUGCUCAUCUCCGUUUCAAAGCCGAAGAGCCAGCGCUGUCCGAAGACGUCUUCGUGGUCAUGUGGCCGGCAUGACUCAACGCCAGAGGCGCACAGAAGGCUGUUACCUUCCCACCAAAGGUGGUCCCUAUUUUUUCAACUUGCCUUUUUACGUGCUUUCGAAACUGCUAGGUUGGCAGAAGCUGGGACAAGUAACGGGAGCUCACCCCGUUACAUGUUUUAAUCCAUAGUGCAUGAUUUGGUUAAAGAUCCUGAGUUAAUUAGGCACUAAAACAAGGAAUGUUGAAAUCCCAGUAUCCCAUGGUAGGAGAUGCUGGAGGUUGUAGUACACCACAUAAAUAUUCCCAUCCCAAUAAGAAACGAAAUAGGCUAGCCAAGUAAGCCUGCUUUUUUUUUCGGAGUAUAAAAUGCACUUUUCCCCCCUAAAAGGGGCUGAAAAUUUGGGUGCGUCCUAUACUUGGAAUGUAGCUUUUUCGAAGCUUUUUGUCAACCCUAACGAGAUACUAACGAGUGAAUCAUUUUCCAAGCUUUGCCUGCUUUUCUUAUUGCUUCUCUCUCCGAAGUUUUUUAUCCCCAGCGCUCAAAACCAGUGAACUAAUGUGCUGAAGCUGACCAGACUAAGGACGCUAGCCAGAUGAAUACCUUGUAGGCAGAUUUUUUUUCCCUAUUUUCCUCCCCAAAAACAAAGGUGCGUCUUAUACUCUGAAAAAGACAGUAUUUAGCACUCACAGAUUUUACUAUAUAGAAAGA